UACGGAGGGGGUUAGCGUUGUUCGGAAUGACUGGGCGUAAAGCGCGCGUAGGCGGGUCGGAAAGUCGGGGGUGAAAUCCCGGGGCUCAACCCCGGAAUGGCCUUCGAAACUCCCGGUCUUGAGUUCGAGAGAGGAGAGUGGAAUUCCGAGUGUAGAGGUGAAAUUCGUAGAUAUUCGGAGGAACACCAGUGGCGAAGGCGGCUCACUGGCUCGACACUGACGCUGAGGUGCGAAAGCGUGGGGAGCAAACAGG
Molecule: ribosomal RNA, 253 nt
Filed under: uncultured bacterium
Lineage: Bacteria
Description: partial 16S ribosomal RNA
Rfam family: Bacterial small subunit ribosomal RNA
Source: RNAcentral